UGCGUAGACGGUAUGUUAAGUUCGUUGUUAAAGGCUCCGGCCUAACCGGAGUACCGCAAUGAAAACUGGCGUGCUAGAGGGUGAGAGAGAGAAGUGGAAUUCCCGGAGUAGCGGUAAAAUGCGUGGAUCUCGGGAGGAACACCAAUGGCGAAGGCAGCUUCUUGGCUCAUUCCUGACGUUGAGGCACGAAAGCGUGGGGAGGCAAAACA
Molecule: ribosomal RNA, 209 nt
Filed under: uncultured bacterium
Lineage: Bacteria
Description: partial 16S ribosomal RNA
Rfam family: Bacterial small subunit ribosomal RNA
Source: RNAcentral